This 215-nucleotide long non-coding RNA is filed under the name Anser brachyrhynchus (Pink-footed goose). Its description in RNAcentral is "lncRNA (ENSABRG00000006315.1)". Lineage: Eukaryota; Metazoa; Chordata; Aves; Anseriformes; Anatidae. The record is from RNAcentral.
CAGGAGGAUGCUGAGGUACCUGCACAGCUCAGCAGCUGAGAAAUGUCUCUGAGACUCAAAGUAGGACCACGGGACAGAGAGGUCAUUGCAGGCACAGGCUUUUCAAGGGAAGUGUGUUUUACUCAUCCGCCUGUGGAGUCCAGCUAUUAAUAGGGUUCUGAAGUGCACCAAAUUGGCCAUUGGCAGUCCCAUUAAGAUACGUAAGUGCAUAUUAC